GAUGAACGCUGGCGGCGUGCCUAAUACAUGCAAGUCGAGCGAACAGACAAGGAGCUUGCUCCUUUGACGUUAGCGGCGGACGGGUGAGUAACACGUGGGUAACCUACCUAUAAGACUGGGAUAACUUCGGGAAACCGGAGCUAAUACUGGAUAAUAUUUCGAACCGCAUGGUUCGAUAGUGAAAGAUGGUUUUGCUAUCACUUAUAGAUGGACCCGCGCCGUAUUAGCUAGUUGGUAAGGUAACGGCUUACCAAGGCGACGAUACGUAGCCGACCUGAGAGGGUGAUCGGCCACACUGGAACUGAGACACGGUACAGACUCCUACGGGAGGCAGCAGUAGGGAAUCUUCCGCAAUGGGCGAAAGCCUGACGGAGCAACGCCGCGUGAGUGAUGAAGGUCUUCGGAUCGUAAAACUCUGUUAUUAGGGAAGAACAUACGUGUAAGUAACUAUGCACGUCUUGACGGUACCUAACCAGAAAGCCACGGCUAACUACGUGCCAGCCGCCGCCGUAA
This 513-nucleotide ribosomal RNA is filed under the name uncultured bacterium. RNAcentral's name for it is "partial 16S ribosomal RNA". It matches the Rfam family "Bacterial small subunit ribosomal RNA", at positions 28 to 523 of the family's 1533-position model. The record is from RNAcentral.